RNAcentral lists this ribosomal RNA (395 nucleotides) under uncultured bacterium. Its description in RNAcentral is "bacterial SSU rRNA". It matches the Rfam family "Bacterial small subunit ribosomal RNA", at positions 997 to 1393 of the family's 1533-position model. The record is from RNAcentral.
ACCUAAGAGAUUAGGCGUUCCCUUCGGGGACGGAAUGACAGGUGGUGCAUGGUUGUCGUCAGCUCGUGUCGUGAGAUGUUGGGUUAAGUCCCGCAACGAGCGCAACCCUUAUGAUCAGUUGCCAGCAUUCAGUUGGGCACUCUGGUCAGACUGCCGGUGACAAACCGGAGGAAGGCGGGGAUGACGUCAAAUCAUCAUGCCCCUUAUGACCUGGGCUACACACGUGCUACAAUGGGUGGUACAACGAGCAGCGAGACCGCGAGGUCAAGCGAAUCUCUAAAAACCAUCCUCAGUUCGGAUUGCAGGCUGCAACUCGCCUGCAUGAAGCUGGAAUCGCUAGUAAUCGCGGAUCAGCACGCCGCGGUGAAUACGUUCCCGGGUCUUGUACACACCGA